Molecule: ribosomal RNA, 497 nt
Filed under: uncultured bacterium
Lineage: Bacteria
Description: partial 16S ribosomal RNA
Rfam family: Bacterial small subunit ribosomal RNA
Source: RNAcentral
GACGAACGCUGGCGGCGUGCCUAAUACAUGCAAGUUGAGCGAUGAAGAUUGGUGCUUGCACCAAUUUGAAGAGCAGCGAACGGGUGAGUAACGCGUGGGGAAUCUGCCUUUGAGCGGGGGACAACAUUUGGAAACGAAUGCUAAUACCGCAUAACAACUUUAAACAUAAGUUUUAAGUUUGAAAGAUGCAAUUACAUCACUCAAAGAUGAUCCCGCGUUGUAUUAGCUAGUUGGUGAGGUAAAGGCUCACCAAGGCGAUGAUACAUAGCCGACCUGAGAGGGUGAUCGGCCACAUUGGGACUGAGACACGGCCCAAACUCCUACGGGAGGCAGCAGUAGGGAAUCUUCGGCAAUGGACGAAAGUCUGGCCGAGCAACGCCGCGUGAGUGAAGAAGGUUUUCGGAUCGUAAAACUCUGUUGGUAGAGAAGAACGUUGGUGAGAGUGGAAAGCUCAUCAAGUGACGGUAACUACCCAGAAAGGGACGGCUAACUACGUG